Molecule: ribosomal RNA, 477 nt
Filed under: uncultured organism
Description: partial 16S ribosomal RNA
Rfam family: Bacterial small subunit ribosomal RNA
Source: RNAcentral
ACGUACACUCCUGCGGGAGGCAGCAGUGGGGAAUAUUGCACAAUGGGCGCAAGCCUGAUGCAGCCAUGCCGCGUGUGUGAAGAAGGCCUUCGGGUUGUAAAGCACUUUCAGCGGGGAGGAAGGCAAUGCGGUUAAUAACCGUGUUGAUUGACGUUACCCGCAGAAGAAGCACCGGCUAACUCCGUGCCAGCAGCCGCGGUAAUACGGAGGGUGCAAGCGUUAAUCGGAAUUACUGGGCGUAAAGCGCACGCAGGCGGUCUGUCAAGUCGGAUGUGAAAUCCCCGGGCUCAACCUGGGAACUGCAUUCGAAACUGGCAGGCUUGAGUCUUGUAGAGGGGGGUAGAAUUCCAGGUGUAGCGGUGAAAUGCGUAGAGAUCUGGAGGAAUACCGGUGGCGAAGGCGGCCCCCUGGACAAAGACUGACGCUCAGGUGCGAAAGCGUGGGGAGCAAACAGGAUUAGAAACCCCAGUAGUCCCA